This 105-nucleotide ribosomal RNA is filed under the name uncultured bacterium. RNAcentral's name for it is "partial 16S ribosomal RNA". It matches the Rfam family "Bacterial small subunit ribosomal RNA", at positions 1365 to 1482 of the family's 1533-position model. The record is from RNAcentral.
AAUACGUUCCCGGGCCUUGUACACACCGCCCGUCACAUCACGAAAGUGGAUUGUACUAGAAGUCCCAAUUUAAACCGGCCCAAGGUAUGAUUCAUGAUUGGGGUG